Molecule: small RNA, 150 nt
Filed under: Rhizobium sp. BK399
Lineage: Bacteria; Pseudomonadati; Pseudomonadota; Alphaproteobacteria; Hyphomicrobiales; Rhizobiaceae
Description: sRNA ar35
Rfam family: Alphaproteobacterial sRNA ar35
Source: RNAcentral
ACUGGCGCAGCCUGUCGUAGAGCCGUCCGAAGAAAGGAAGCCCUAGAACGCCCGCCGCCAAAUCCCUUCGCCUCCCUGACCACGGAUAUACUGGCACGGAGACGAGAUGGAAGCACAGUGGAGCCGGAUUUGUGUCCGGCUCUAUUCUGU